RNAcentral lists this ribosomal RNA (494 nucleotides) under uncultured bacterium. Its description in RNAcentral is "partial 16S ribosomal RNA". It matches the Rfam family "Bacterial small subunit ribosomal RNA", at positions 31 to 507 of the family's 1533-position model. The record is from RNAcentral.
GAACGCUGGCGGCGUGCCUAAUACAUGCAAGUCGAGCGAACGGACGAGAAGCUUGCUUCUCUGAUGUUAGCGGCGGACGGGCGAGUAACACGUGGAUAACCUACCUAUAAGACUGGGAUAACUUCGGGAAACCGGAGCUAAUACCGGAUAAUAUUUUGAACCGCAUGGUUCAAAAGUGAAAGACGGUCUUGCUGUCACUUAUAGAUGGAUCCGCGCUGCAUUAGCUAGUUGGUAAGGUAACGGCUUACCAAGGCAACGAUGCAUAGCCGACCUGAGAGGGUGAUCGGCCACACUGGAACUGAGACACGGUCCAGACUCCUACGGGAGGCAGCAGUAGGGAAUCUUCCGCAAUGGGCGAAAGCCUGACGGAGCAACGCCGCGUGAGUGAUGAAGGUCUUCGGAUCGUAAAACUCUGUUAUUAGGGAAGAACAUAUGUGUAAGUAACUGUGCACAUCUUGACGGUACCUAAUCAGAAAGCCACGGCUAACUACGUG